RNAcentral lists this transfer RNA (72 nucleotides) under Camelus bactrianus (Bactrian camel). It matches the Rfam family "tRNA". Rfam says of the family: Transfer RNA (tRNA) molecules are approximately 80 nucleotides in length. Their secondary structure includes four short double-helical elements and three loops (D, anti-codon, and T loops). RNAcentral also lists the same sequence under 2 other names. Lineage: Eukaryota; Metazoa; Chordata; Mammalia; Artiodactyla; Camelidae. The record is from Rfam by way of RNAcentral.
GAGACUAUAGCUCAGUGGUAGAGUGCAUGCUUAGCAUGCACAAGGUCCUGGGUUCAAUCCCCAAUACCUCCA